UGGUCAAGUUAUUAAGGGUGCAGGGCGGAUGCCUUGGCACUAGGAGCCGAUGAAGGACGUGAUAAGCUGCGAUAAGCUUCGGGGAGUUGCACGUAAACUUUGAUCCGAAGAUUUCCGAAUGAGGAAACUCACUUAGAGUAAUGUCUAAGUAUCAUUAAGUGAAUACAUAGCUUAAUGAGGGGAACUCAGGGAACUGAAACAUCUAAGUACCUGAAGGAAGAGAAAGAAAUUCGAUUCCGUAAGUAGCGGCGAGCGAACGCGGAUUAGCCCAAACCAAUAAAGUUUUCUUUAUUGGGGUUGCG
This 302-nucleotide ribosomal RNA is filed under the name Clostridioides difficile. Its description in RNAcentral is "partial 23S ribosomal RNA". It matches the Rfam family "Bacterial large subunit ribosomal RNA", at positions 1 to 302 of the family's 2925-position model. The record is from RNAcentral. Lineage: Bacteria; Bacillati; Bacillota; Clostridia; Peptostreptococcales; Peptostreptococcaceae.